RNAcentral lists this ribosomal RNA (479 nucleotides) under uncultured bacterium. RNAcentral describes it as "partial 16S ribosomal RNA". It matches the Rfam family "Bacterial small subunit ribosomal RNA", at positions 28 to 507 of the family's 1533-position model. The record is from RNAcentral.
GAUGAACGCUAGCGGGAGGCCUAACACAUGCAAGCCGAGCGGUAAUGUUUCUUCGGAAAUGAGAGAGCGGCGUACGGGUGCGUAACACGUGUGCAACCUGCCUUUAUCUGGGGGAUAGCCUUUCGAAAGGAAGAUUAAUACUCCAUAAUAUAUUGAACGGCAUCGUUUAAUAUUGAAAGCUCCGGCGGAUAGAGAUGGGCACGCGCAAGAUUAGCUAGUUGGUGAGGUAACGGCUCACCAAGGCGAUGAUCUUUAGGGGGCCUGAGAGGGUGAUCCCCCACACUGGUACUGAGACACGGACCAGACUCCUACGGGAGGCAGCAGUGAGGAAUAUUGGUCAAUGGGUGCAAGCCUGAACCAGCCAUCCCGCGUGAAGGACGACUGCCCUAUGGGUUGUAAACUUCUUUUGUAUAGGGAUAAACCUACCCUCGUGAGGGUAGCUGAAGGUACUAUACGAAUAAGCACCGGCUAACUCCGUG